RNAcentral lists this unclassified non-coding RNA (3722 nucleotides) under Hevea brasiliensis (rubber tree). The record is from RNAcentral. Lineage: Eukaryota; Viridiplantae; Streptophyta; Magnoliopsida; Malpighiales; Euphorbiaceae.
GCAAAAACAGCAUCCCCUUGUACGCAGCUGCUACUACAAUUCCUCCAGAUUGGCCGGAAGCGUUCCUUCUUCUCUCCUAAGUGACAUAAUUAACCAAAGAAGAGCAGAAAACAAGUGAACAUAUUAGGCCAAAAUGGCCUCAGCUGCUGUUGACCACGUGAUUGGACUAAUAGUGUCUACUGUUCAGAAUGAAGCAACAUUAUCAGUCGGCAUCAACGAUGAGCUUGACGAAAUUAGGAGAGAACUAGUAAGCAUGAAAUCCUUUCUACAUGAUGCUGAGAGAAAGCAAGUCAUGUCAGAAGUAAUGAAGACAUGGGUUGCAGAUGUGAGGGACAUUGCACACCAAAUUGAAGACCUCAUUGAUGAGUACAUGUAUUACGUGUAUCGACAACAACAUUUCACAAAACUCCAUCGAAUUUUUCGCACUCCAAAAACUCUUUUGGAGACUCGUCAAAUUGCCUCUAAGCUGCAACAGAUCAAUAAAACCAUCAAAAGCAUGGAUGAGAGGAGAAGGAGAUAUGGAAUUGAUCGUAUAGAAGGUUUCAGUGACCAUAACAAUUUGCCAUUGUACCGAAGGGAUUCAGCGCCUUAUAUGGAAGAAGAUGACCUUGUCGGGUUUGAGGAAGAAAGUCGAUUGUUGAAAACAUGGUUAAUGGAUAAAGAAGAACAUCGAACUCCCAUUUCAAUGGUUGGAAUGGGGGGAUCUGGUAAGACAACGCUAGUUGCCAAGACCUACAAUGAUGAAACUGUGAAAUCCUAUUUUGAAUGUUGUGCAUGGAUUACCGUCUCUCAGACAUAUACGAGAGAUGAUUUACUCAGAAGUUUAAUCAAAGAAUUCCACCAGUCAAGGAAGGAAGAAGUUCCUAAUGAUUUGGGAACAAAGGACUUUAAAGACCUCGUAGGCAUUCUUAUUGGGUAUUUGGAGCAGAAAAAAUACCUAGUUGUCUUGGAUGAUGUGUGGGAUACGAAUCUGUGGGUGGCAAUAAAGGCAGCACUUCCAGAUAACCACCGUGGAAGUCGGAUCAUGGUUACGACUCAAAAAGAAUAUGUAGGUUCUUUUUCUUCUGGCGUUAAAAGCCGUAUUCUCCAAAUUAAACCACUAAACACGAGAGAGGCAUGGCAUCUCUUUUGCAAGAAAGCAUUCUCAAGUUAUCCUGAUAAAUCUUGUCCAAGAGAGCUUGAACUUUUGGCAUCAGAACUGAUGGGAAAAUGUAAAGGCCUACCUCUUGCAGUUGUGGCUUUGGGCGGUCUCAUGUCUUCCAAAAAGUCAAUAACAGAAUGGAGUAGUGUUUGUGACAACUUGAACUGGCAGCUAAAUAAUAAUCAGAUGUUGGAAGUAGUCAAGAGCAUUUUGUUGCUUAGUUUCAAUGACUUGCCAUCCCCACUUAAGCAUUGUUUCCUCUAUUGCUGCUUAUUUCCUGAGGAUUAUUCAAUUAAGCGAAAGAGACUCAUCAGAUUAUGGAUGGCAGAGGGGUUUGUAGAACAGGUCAGAGGGAUAACACCAGAAGAGGUUGCUGAGGGAUACCUCAUGGAACUCAUUCGCCGAAGUAUGCUUCAAGCUGUAGAGAGGAACUCAUUUGGACUUCCAAAAGCAUGCAAGAUGCAUGAUCUACUACGGGAGCUUGCUCUUUCAAUUUCGGAAGAACAAAAAUUUUGUGCUGUACAUGACGAACAAAGAGUAGGUGCAAGAGAAGAUGGCAUAGCACGUCGUCUGUCAGUCCAAGCACUAGGAAAAGAAACCAGAGUCUAUGAGGGUAUGUCACUGCUUCGCGCUUUCUUUUGGUUUGUUGAUGAUGCGCUCUUUCUUUCUUCCAUAAAUACAUUAGCAUCUGGCUUUAAGCUUCUGAGGGUGCUGGACUUGGAAGAUGCUCCAAUUGAAAAGUUGCCAAAUGACAUAGUCACUUUGUUUAAUUUGAGAUACUUGAACUUGAAAAGAACACUAGUUAAGGAGCUGCCAAAAUCAAUUGGAAGAUUGCAUAACCUUGAAACAUUAAAUAUUGAUGACACCAACAUUAAGGCCCUUCCAAAAGGGAUUGUUAAGUUGCAGAACUUGCGGUAUCUUCUAGCACGCCGUUUGAAUCCUGGACUGUACAAUGAUUUCGAUUAUGUAUCUGGCAUACAAGUGCAUUUAGAUAUAAGUACUUUAAAGAACUUGCAAGUUCUAGGUUGUGUAGAAUCUAGUGGAAAUAUGAUGAAGCAAGUGCAAAGCAUGACCCAGCUAGUGAGACUUGAACUUUCAAACGUUAAAAGUUCAGAUGAAACGGAAUUGUGCUCUGCCAUCCAAAAUAUGCCUUUCCUUUGCCGCUUAUUUGUGAUGGCAAGUAACCAUGAGAUUCUACAGAUGAAUGCUUUGAAAUCACCUCCACCAGGCCUUAGGAGACUCUGUUUGGUUGGAAAGCUGGAGAAUAUCCCAGGAUGGUUUCACUCACUUGAGAGCCUUAGAGUUUUACAUUUGCAUUGGUCCAGCCUAGAAAACGAUCCAACUUCACAUCUUCAAGCGCUUCCCAAUUUAAGGUGGCUUAUCCUUGUCAAAGCAUACGAAGGUAGACACCUGCAAUUUCGUCAAGGGUUUACUAAUCUAGAGAUUUUAGAGUUGCUUAAUUUUCCCACACUUGAGCUGAUAACUAUAGCAAAGGGAGUAAUGUCAGGCCUUAAAGAACUAUGCAUUGGCAAUUGUGAAAAUCUGAUGAUGAUUCCUUGGGGUGUCAAAAAUCUUACCAACCUUCAGGAACUGACACUGAUGAAUGCUUCAGAACAACUCACUAAGCGUAUUUGCGCACCCUCUGGUGUGGAUCAUGAAGUUGUCCAACACAUUCCUAAGAUCAACAAUUUUUGCUUCACAUCAACAGGGUGGUUUCAGGAAAGCCUGUCCUAGAUCUUUCACUAAAAAGUAGGGCUUCUACCUCCUAUCUUGUUUAAUUUAAAUAAGAUCAUACUUCAAUGUGCUUCUCUGUUAGUAUCCACUUCCUAGUGACUUAAAUUAGUAGAUGAUCAAUGUAUUUUCAUGAGUUUUCCUAUUUCCACUGGUUAAAAACCUCACUGUUUGAUAAUUUUUAUGGGCUUUUUUUAUGUUUUCUGCUGUUUGUAUAUUUUGGGUGGCAAUGAAAAAUGAAGGUUGUCUUCAGGUUUCUCCAGCUAAAUUCCUCUGGCGUUUAUGUCUGCUUGUUAGCUCCAUUUGUAUUUGUUGCAAUUUCAGACAAAGGGUUUAAUUACAGUUCAAUGUACUCAUAUGCUGCUUUGCCAGCCGUAGAAAUCAAUGCCCUAUGGCUUCAAUGGACACAGACUACUUGUUGAUUCCAAGCUUGUACAAACUAGCAAACCAAAGAGCAGGUUAGAUUUCAAAGGCAGUGUAAUUUGUGACCAGUUCAUGAUCAGAAAUUGCCAUUGCUGCCCUAUUCCACCAGUUCACACUUAAUUGCCACGAGUUGCUGUCCAGUCAAAACACGGGAAUGGCUAAGGAUUGCUGCAAUCAAAACCUAUGCUACCUCCAAGUUCAAGUAAGAAGGUCAUUCCCAUUCUUCCCUGAUGCCAAGAAUGUUUCCCAAUACUUGGUAGAGAUAACAUUGUGUGAAGACAGUUGGCUAUGUUUCAGGUUUCAUAUGUUUCAUAAGGAUUUUUCCUUCUACACACUACAUUUUAAUCUAUAUUUCCAAAAUUCUUUUAGAGUUUGGUUAAGCAGAUGCCAUCCAUCAUAACAAUGCUUUUUAAACCUGCAUCAGUUU